This 432-nucleotide ribosomal RNA is filed under the name uncultured bacterium. RNAcentral describes it as "partial 16S ribosomal RNA". It matches the Rfam family "Bacterial small subunit ribosomal RNA", at positions 29 to 506 of the family's 1533-position model. The record is from RNAcentral.
AACGAACGCUGGCGGCAUGCCUAACACAUGCAAGUCGAACGAGACCUUCGGGUCUAGUGGCGCACGGGUGCGUAACGCGUGGGAACCUGCCCUUAGGUUCGGAAUAACUCCCCGAAAGGGGUGCUAAUACCGGAUAAUGUCUUCGGACCAAAGAUUUAUCGCCUUUGGAUGGGCCCGCGUUGGAUUAGCUAGUUGGUAGGGUAAAAGCCUACAAAGGCGACGAUCCAUAGCUGGUCUGAGAGGAUGAUCAGCCACACUGGGACUGAGACACGGCCCAGACUCCUACGGGAGGCAGCAGUGGGGAAUAUUGGACAAUGGGCGAAAGCCUGAUCCAGCAAUGCCGCGUGAGUGAUGAAGGCCUUAGGGUUGUAAAGCUCUUUUACCCGGGAUGAUAAUGACAGUACCGGGAGAAUAAGCUCCGGCUAACUCCGU